GGGACACACUGAGUUCCCAUAGCACACACGUCCCCAAUCCCAGAAACUUUACUCUUCUGACCAAAAAUCAGAACUCAAAAUCUGAAAUCUGAUGGAACAAUAAGCCGAAGAAGGGAAACCAGGCUGUCCUGGAAAGAAAACCUCAGAAGUGUGGGACAAACACAGGGCACCAUCUCCCCGUGUCCUAGGAAGCUCUCCACAUCGGGCCCCUCCCACCCAUCCUGCCACCCACUCCAGGAGUAGAGAAGACAGCCCUUGAGAUGGGG
RNAcentral lists this long non-coding RNA (266 nucleotides) under Homo sapiens (human). RNAcentral describes it as "HSALNT0015413". Lineage: Eukaryota; Metazoa; Chordata; Mammalia; Primates; Hominidae. The record is from RNAcentral.